CGCUGAACUUAAGCAUAUCACUAAGCGGAGGAAAAGAAACUACCAG
RNAcentral lists this ribosomal RNA (46 nucleotides) under Microphallus sp. nov. 1 IBC-2010. RNAcentral's name for it is "partial 28S ribosomal RNA". The record is from RNAcentral. Lineage: Eukaryota; Metazoa; Platyhelminthes; Trematoda; Plagiorchiida; Microphallidae.